AGAAAACAAACAGCAAAAUACAUAAACGGAGGGAUUGCGACAAGCGACGCACUUUGGGGAAAAGUAAUAACAUCGUGCGGCCUUUUGUGACGCCGCACGAUGUUCGGUAGUGGAGGAAACCGGAGAAAACCCACGCAGGCACGGGGAGAACAUGCAAACCACACGGGCGGAGCCGGGAUUGAACCUCGAACCUUGGAACUGUGAGGCCAACACUUUCCGGCGAUACCAGCCAAGAAUAAACAAACGGGCGACCAGUUCAGGGUGUGGCCCGCCUCCUGCCCGUUGACAGCUGGGAUAGGCUAAAGCACUCCCCGUGCCCCUCGUGAGGAUAAGCGGCUAAGAAAAUGGAUGAAUUCAGAAAUCAAAGUCUGGAAUGGUUCCUGCGCAACAUGGUGCGAACUGCCUUUCCCACAAGUUCUAACGUCAAACAGACGCGAGCCAACCUCCCGGCAAACGUUCACAUCGUCCGCCGAGCGGGAGGAGGAGGAGGGAAAAAGGAGUCUCAUCGCAUUAACGACGCCUGAAGAAUGUCCUCGCGCAGAUGUUUUUCUACUCGACCUUUAGGACGACCUGGAGCUGCGCAACGGCCGCCCAUAUGCGCCGACUUUCCACCGCUGUGAUUUCAUACUGUAAUGAGCCACUAUAAGCUGCAGAUGUUGUGUCAAAACUCGCCGAGGGGCGCCAUGGCAACGGGAUGAACACACAACCAGCGCGAAACACACAAAAAAUCAAUAUACCACACGUGUGCACACAUUCACGCAGGAAAAAAAAAAAAAAAAUACGUAACAGAUGAAACAAAAUGACACACGCGAGAGAAACCAAACAACAAACACAAAACAGGCACGCACAAAAACACGCGAGGGAAACAUGAACAAGCGCAACACACACACACACGGACACACAACUAGCAAAACAUGAAACAUAAACGGACGCACACUCGCACAGCUCGCCCAAGGUGAUUGCGUCGGCGCCCAGCUGCCCGCCGGCGACGUCACAA
Molecule: long non-coding RNA, 997 nt
Organism: Syngnathoides biaculeatus (alligator pipefish)
Lineage: Eukaryota; Metazoa; Chordata; Actinopteri; Syngnathiformes; Syngnathidae
Exons: 4
Source: RefSeq, a predicted model, not a curated record